GAUGAACGCUGGCGGCGUGCCUAAUACAUGCAAGUCGAGCGAACGGACGAGAAGCUCGCUUCUCUGAUGUUAGCGGCGGACGGGUGAGUAACACGUGGAUAACCUACCUAUAAGACUGGGAUAACUUCGGGAAACCGGAGCUAAUACCGGAUAAUAUUUUGAACCGCAUGGUUCAAAAGUGAAAGACGGUCUUGCUGUCACUUAUAGAUGGAUCCGCGCUGCAUUAGCUAGUUGGUAAGGUAACGGCUUACCAAGGCAACGAUGCAUAGCCGACCUGAGAGGGUGAUCGGCCACACUGGAACUGAGACACGGUCCAGACUCCUACGGGAGGCAGCAGUAGGGAAUCUUCCGCAAUGGGCGAAAGCCUGACGGAGCAACGCCGCGUGAGUGAUGAAGGUCUUCGGAUCGUAAAACUCUGUUAUUAGGGAAGAACAUAUGUGUAAGUAACUGUGCACACCUUGACGGUACCUAAUCAGAAAGCCACGGCUAACUACGUG
Molecule: ribosomal RNA, 497 nt
Filed under: uncultured bacterium
Lineage: Bacteria
Description: partial 16S ribosomal RNA
Rfam family: Bacterial small subunit ribosomal RNA
Source: RNAcentral